AUGGGUCUGUCGAGCGCUGUGGAUUGGUGGGAGGAGUGGCAGCUGCGCAUCCUCGUCCUCGGCAGCCUCUUUGUCCAAUACCUCCUGCUCUGCUCUGCCCCCUUCCGUAAGUUUGCUAUUCCUUCCUGGUACAGAUCCAUCAUAUGGCUCGCAUACCUAGGCAGUGAUUCUGUAGCCAUAUACGCCCUGGCUACCCUCUUUAACCGCCAGAGGAGACAGGAUUAUGGUUCUGCAAACAGCAAUAGCAUCCUGGAGGUGGUGUGGGCGCCAGUUCUCCUGAUGCACCUCGGCGGACAGGACGUAAUAAGUGCCUACAAUAUCGAAGACAACGAGCUGUGGACACGGCAUGUCCUCACUGCAGUGUCUCAAGUCACAGUAGCUAUCUACGUGUUCUGCAAAUCAUGGCCAGGCACAGGCGGAGACACAAGGUUGUUGCUGGCAUCAAUCUGCUUCUUUGUCUCAGGGAUUGUCAAAUGCAUAGAGAAACCUUGGGCUCUCAAGAGAGCUAGCAUCAAUAGCCUAGUCAGCUCUUCUGAUACUGCCGCGAGGAUGGGAAGCAUGUUUGGCAAGACCAUUUCGCUUGAAGAGUACGUGCAAGAAGCAAGGAAUUUUGUCCAGUCCCAAGUAGAAGGGCAUGCAGUUGACCUUGAGCACAACCAUGUUCCUCAAGCCCAAGCAGAAACUGAUGCAGUGGAAUCCAACCAUCAUCGUCAAGCACAUGGAAAAGGUAAUGCUGCUGACCUUGAUCCCAACCAUAUUCUUCGAGCCCAAGGAGAGGCCAAUGGAAAAAGGCGCCUAAUCCAAAAAAGGGAAAAUAAUAGAAAAUAUGAUGUUCAGAUCCGUAAGAUAUUUGUGGACCUUGCAUCAUCGUAUACUGAUCGACUGGAUAUCCUAAAAUCCUUUUGGGUGCUUGAUGAGAAAAGAGCAUGCGCUUUUUUGCGAAAAGGGCUAUUAAACACAUUUGAUCUUCUCUACACCAAACAAAAGGUGAAUACAUCCAUGGAAAUUAUCAGAAAAAUUCAAGAAGCUAGAAAAGCAGAUAUUACAUUUCAGAACUUUUUUACUUGGUGCUUUUUGGCACUAGCUCUGUACCUGCCAUUUGCUGCCAUCGGCCUCUUCCACAAGAGUCACAGAGGCACUUAUAAUGUUAAUGAUGUCAAGGUUACAUAUGCCUUGUUCUGUUGUACUGCUGCGAUGCAGUUUUUUGCCAUGUACUUUCACAUGCUUGCAGCAGCUCUGAGCGGUUUACUGAUAUCAUCUGGCAUGGUUGCUCAGUAUAGCCUACUAAAUUUCUUUAUUCGCAACGAAAGGCACAGCAAGAAGAUGUGCGUUCUUAGUUCCUUCAACUGCAAGGACUUCCUUGACCAGCGUUGGUGCAUGAAGUCAUGCUCCUCAUCUUUCGGAAUUACAGAAUUGGUUCUUGGAUAUGUGAAAUGUUGCUGGGAGAAAGACAUAGUAGAUGCUGCCAGUUAUAGGAAAUUCAGUGAUCAGAGGGGCCAGUGGACUAUUCAGCGUAGUGGGUGCGACAAAGACCAGGAAUGGGGGCUAAACAGGUCGUUCGACGAGAGUGUCCUUCUCUGGCACAUCGCAACGGACUUGUGCUUCUACCAAAAGGGAGACACAUCAGCUAGUCGUGGAGAUGCCACAAAAUGCAGAGAAAUUUCCAACUACAUGGUAUACCUACUGUUUGUCCAUCCUGAGAUGCUAUUGCCCGGCACAAGACGAAAUCUGUUCAAGGCUGCUAACGCUGAACUGGAGGAGAUUUUCAAGGACGACAAGCCAUUACUCAAGGCCAUCCUCAAGGGUGGCAAGCCAUCGCUAAUGGAGAUUCCCAAGCGAAAGGGGCCAUUGCCUGAGCAGAUUGAAAGAAGACUUGUGGACAGUAUAAUCGCCAAGGUGCAACCAACAAAAUACAGCAAACAAGUUGAACACACAUACUUGGCACCAGCUGCACAGGAAGGUUUUAUCCAUGAGGCCCGGAAGAUUUCUGAACUAUUGUUGUCUUUGGGCGAUGAGAAGAUGUGGAAGGUGAUCAAAGGUGUGUGGGUGGAGAUGCUCUGCUUCUCAGCCAGUAGGUGCCGAGGAUUCCUACAUGCCAAGAGUUUGGGCACCGGCGGGGAGCUGCUCACAUAUGUAUGGCUCCUGCUGUCGCACAUGGGGAUGGAGACCUUGCCGGAGAGGGCACAGAGGAGGGAGCUUUCAAGUGAAGGAGGAAACAUGGGUGCUGCUCCGUUCACUUCGCGGGUCAGCAUCCCCACUGGGGAGGACAUGGUUUGA
RNAcentral lists this ribosomal RNA (2277 nucleotides) under Triticum aestivum (bread wheat). Its description in RNAcentral is "partial small subunit ribosomal RNA". Lineage: Eukaryota; Viridiplantae; Streptophyta; Magnoliopsida; Poales; Poaceae. The record is from RNAcentral.